AGGAUCAACGCUGGCGGCGUGCCUAACGCAUGUAAGUCGAACGCAUUGCCUUCGGGUAAUGAGUGGCGAACGGCUGAGGAACACGUACGAACCUGCCUGUUCGUGGGGAAUAACGCGCCGAAAGGUGUGCUAAUACCGCGUACGCUCACCUUGGUGAGGAAAGCCUUCGGGCGCGGACAGCGGGGCGUGCGGCCCAUCAGGUCGUUGGUGGGGUAAUGGCCUACCAAGCCUUUGACGGGUAGCUGGUCUGUGAGGACGAUCAGCCAGACUGGGACUGCGACACGGCCCAGACACCUACGGGUGGCAGCAGCGAGGAAUCUUCCACAAUGGGCGAAAGCCCGAUGGAGCAACGCCGCGUGGAGGAUGACGGCUUUCGGGUUGUAAACUCCUUUCGGGAGGGAUGAUACGGACAGUACCUCCAAAAGAAGCCCCGGCUAACUCUGCGCCAGCAGCCGC
This 456-nucleotide ribosomal RNA is filed under the name uncultured bacterium. Its description in RNAcentral is "SSU rRNA". It matches the Rfam family "Bacterial small subunit ribosomal RNA", at positions 26 to 518 of the family's 1533-position model. The record is from RNAcentral.